AGUGGCUGCUGAGUCGGGACAAAGAUGCUGAGAAUGUGGUGGACAAGAAUGACCUGAAUAUGCAGAAGGAGAGCACCAGCAUUGAUAUCGAGUUUGCCCAGGAACAGCACCAGUCUGCCUGAAGAAUCCCCAGUCCAGGACAAUCCUUCCCCCCCCCCCUGACCCCUAGCUCCUCCACCCUGACCUCUGGCCUCAAAGGGUCAUCAUAGUUGAACAAUUCCGUUCUGUAGGAAAUUCUGAGAAUAUAGAGUUUUCAAGCGCUGUACUCAACAACCGCAAUGUCUGUGUUGAGUUUUCAACACUCCAGACUGAAUAGUUUUGUUAAGCUUGAGUGCCAGAGAGGGACAGACACAAGGAGUUAUAGAAGUAGUUAUGGUAACACUAACAGUCAGUUCUUGCCGUAUGACAUCACAACGAAUAUCACGAAGAAUAAAAAGUUGAUUAAUUUGUUCCAUUCUUUAUGGGACAAACAUAAAUUCAAGGAAAUUGUUACAUUUAAAGCGAUUUAUUAACAUGUGUAAGCUUUCCAAGCAGGAUACUUUUUCUGUCUAUAGUUUGGACAGUAGUAGAGUUACAAAUGCGCUUUUGAUGCUGUUGCUGACAAAGAAAGGCAGUAACUACUUCAUUGUGAACACCCAGGGCACGAUACACCCAUGGGGUGUGCCUCAAAUGUGAAUUCCGCCCAAUAUUGUAAACAAGGUGCUAAAAGUAAACACAUCCGGUUUUGUUACGAGCACUUUGCAAUCCAAGCCCAAAGCACAUAGAAUCGACGCUAGAAAAGGCUUAGAAAAAUGACAGCAGUUUGGUUGUGUGAUCUAGUAAGGGCUUCAACUCUGAACGACGUUAAUGAGACCUCAAACUCGACCAUAGCACUCACAGCGAGGCCAUCAUGUUAUCUCAGAUUGUUGAGCUUCAGCAAGAUAGACAGACUUCACCAUAGAGGGUCAUCUGUAUUUCUACAUUUCUGUCUAAUCCAUCGACAAAACAUCAAACAUUAUUAGCCAACAAGAUGAAAACAUCAUUGAAGUGAAAGUCAAAAACAAUCCUGACUACCUUCGGGCACAAAUACUACAACUUGCUGAAGAAAUUCAGCACGAAUAUGUCUUGCGUCAGCCUAGCACGCCUCCUAUUAACUCUUCCAACAGCGGAGCCUUGGUGAGUUUGACUUCCGUCCAAGGUUCGAUGUUGCUUAGCAACAAUUAGAUGCUUGGUAUCAACAAAUUGUUCCGUACGAGUCGCUCGAACGUAUACGAUCUGAUCCAACAGAUAGAGCAGGCGUUGCGAGACUGGUCUGUUAAUGUGACUGACCUCGAUAUAUUGCUUUCCAAUAAUGUGAACCUUAUGCCUGAAGAGCAGUAUGCGAUUGACACCAUUCAACAACAGUAGUCGGGAAUUCCCGGGUUUGGGGUGGUGACUUUGUCGUCGGGAGUCUCUUUCUAUUGCCUGGUCGCAGAGGCAGCAGCAACAAGAACAACAAGUAUUAUUUGAGCGAUGCUCUGUGCUAGUUCCUAGCAAUCAUAGAUCGGUACCCUGCUGAAAAACAGGAUCUCUGGUCAGCUGGGCCCAGAUGCCCAGCAAUACUUCCUAGCCCAGGACCUUGGGGCAAAUGCUCAACAUGUCCUAUCUGCAUGGUGAAGCCAGUCUAAACCUUGGGCUCCAAACUUUCCUGCUGUGGAGCUGAGAUUACCUCAUCCAUAAGAGGGCUUAUACUCACAAGUUCAGGCCAAGAGAACGGUGUUCCCCAACUACAACACAACCAGUAUGUCUCAAUAGAGGACACCCUUCCUGAAAACCUCGCUGAGUGCGACUGCGCCAUACGUGACCCUUAAGUGAAAUGAGAUUCCAGGCUGAAUGUCAAACCGGUACUACUCAGGUCUUCAGCAAUAGCCUCAGCCUUGGACGCAGGUUCAUGAUGCACCCGUGGCCUUACUUAUUUCUGAACAUCUCAAUCUCACAGCAAUUGAUGUGAAUUAAUGAUAAUAAGACUCCACAAACCACGUUUUGUAGAGGGUAUAUUGGAGUCAAUUUUCUGUUAGUUGUUUAGUCAAUGCGGCAUUUUUUGCAUAUAUUAUAAAAAGAUUUGUAUCAAAUCUAAAUUUCUCAAAGGAUUAAAUUGGAACUUAAAUUGUGUGAAACCAUUGAACAGUAAGUGAUAAGUGGUGAUUUUUUUUGCAUGCAAAGCCCCAUUGUUUCAUUGGCCAAGUCACUCUUUUACCCAGUAUUAUUUUACUUUCAGUAUCUCACCAUACAUGGGAAAUCAGAAGAUAUGAAACUUAUAUUCUAAUCAGGGUUUUAACUAACAUUUUGCCCACAUUUGCGCUGUAAUCUAUAUGCAAUUCUGGGUUAUAACUAACAUUGUGUCCACAGUUGCGCAAAGUUGUUUGAAUAGUAGUGUCUAAAAACAAAUAAAGCAUAGUCACUUGCAUCCCUUGUAAUCAAUCAUGUUCAUGAAGGAGCCAUUGUGAAAUAUUAUGUUGCAUUUUGACAAAUUGCCAAGCAUAUGUCUUUUAGCUUAUCUUGUUAAGUGUUUUGCAGUACCAAGCCACGUUGACGCAGCAGCAAAAACAACAGUAGCAGUCUAGUAAGCUGUCUUACACGUUUGAGCUACCUAGUUGUAACAGUUUUCAGCAACGUUGUCACAAUAUGGAUUGUUUUAAUAAAACCUAAUGGAGUUAUAGAGCAUAAUUACUGAUUCUCGUGUAAGAUCGUACUUUUUUAAUGCACUUUCAUCAACAACACUGAUGCAUAUGCAUGAAAGCUAAUACAAGUAUUAAUGCACAAACUAAAGUAUGAAUUUCUUGAUAAUUUAAUUUAUUUGCAAACAUUAGUUGCAACACAUAUCUAAGUAUAUCGAUAUUUUUUACUUUGCUUUAAUUUAUUGUUUGAUUUUUAUCACUUUGCCUCUCUUUUCCUAACCAGGUUAAGGGUCACCCCGCAACGUUCAGUGCCUAGCGAUGAAAUCAUCCACCAUUACAUGUAGUUGGUUGAGGGUCGCCCAAAACCACCCGAUGCCUUGCGAUGAAAACCUCCAAAGGUACUGUGACCUUGCCCUUGUACACACCUAAUGGUCAGGUAUAAGGUCACUUGGGCUUAGAUAGUCACUGCAGUAAGAACAUGUAAGGUUUAAAAGGUACUUGUUCACAGAUUUUAUGAGUACUUUGACUGACCCGAAUGACAUAACUAAAGCACAUUUAAAAGUGGCUACAUAUAACUACACAGUGUAUACCAAUAUUUUGCAGUAUGUUAUUGUAAAUUGCUUUUACUUCUUUUGAUACAUAAUAAUAUUAAUAAUCUCAGUUUAGAACCUAAAAGAAGGCAGCUUUUAUGAUUUUCUUUUUUUAAUUUUGUAUAUUUAUUACUGUAGGUUAUUCCAUAAACUGUGUUGAUGUGGUUUUAAUAAUGUUUGAAAAAUGAUAUUGAAAACUCGAUGAUCAAGCUAUUUUAUAUUGUUCCAUCUGUAUUUGUAAACAAAAUGACUGCAGAACAGGGCAUCACUAAGUAAAUUUAUUAACAUUUACCUUUAAAUUUGUAUUUUUUACAUGUUUGUAUUUGUCAAAAUGACAUCAACAACAGGGCAUCAACAGAACCAUCUAUCUGUAUUAACAUUUUCAUUUAAAUAUUGCUCAAUCACUCACGGAAUUUCUACAGAAAGAAAAAAAACAGGACAGGACUAUAUCUUUAAACAUUUCCCUUAAAAUAGUGUAUAUCAUUUUCAAUAAACAAGAUGACUUCACAAUGGGACAUCCGAGACUGCAAUGACGAAAUGAGUGUCCUCACUUCAGCAGUGGAGGCCAAUACACAAUACGAGAGUUUCCAGCGGCUUACCUUAUCUGAAAACCUGGGUUGCAGAGCAAUGAGUAUGUCCAACGAGCAUUUGCAGUCAUCGUCUGCAGAUUAUGAGAUCCCCAUGCUCCACAACCCUCAGUCUAUGAACAUCAUGCAGAGCGAACCUUGGACGUCCCUUGACGAAAUCAAACCAGCAAAUCAGAAGGACAGCCUGUUGCUACCGUUGUUAUCAUAUUAACCCCAUACCGAAGAAGCUCAGAGAUAUAAAUGCUGUUUAAGAUGUGCUAGUCUCUACAUACCCCGUGUCUGGUGUGAACAUGUACAAUUGAAGGUCUCUACAUACCCCAUGUCUGGUGUGAACAUGUACAAUUGAAGACCUCUACAUACGUCAUGUCUGGUGUGAACAUGUACAAUUGAAGGUCUCCACAUACUCCAUGUCUGGUGUGAACAUGUACAAUUGAAGGUCUCUACUUACCCCAUGUCUGGUGUGAACAUGUACAAUUGAAGACCUCUACAUACUCCAUGUCUGGUGUGAACAUGUACAAUUGAAGGUCUCUACAUACUCCAUGUCUGGUGUGAACAUGUACAAUUGAAGGUCUCUACAUACUCCAUGUCUGGUGUGAACAUGUACAAUUGAAGGUCUCUACAUACCCCAUGUCUGGUGUGAACAUGUCUCAUCUUUGAAAUUGGAAAAUUAGUGACUUGAUUCAGACAGAAAUCGCAUAAUGACAAAUCACAACAAAAAAACGAAAGCCAGAAAGUCUUGUGGCCAGCAAUGUUUUUAUGUGACCAUCCAAGUUGUGUUCAAAGAAAAACAAUAGUUCAUGUUUUAUUGGAACUAUGAUGCUGUCAGUCAUUUUAUGUUGAAGGCUUUAAAUAACUAUAUUUAAAUAUAAUAAGAUUAAGAUUACUUGAUCAAAGAAAUAAUGUAAAAUAGUAUUUUAAGCGCAAAAUUUACAAGUCUAUCCAAUUACUGUGUCUGUAUUAUGACAUUUUAUUUUGGAAAUGUUAAGGAAAAUAUAAUGUAAGUAAAUAUAUGUCUAUGAA
This is a long non-coding RNA of Dreissena polymorpha, 4833 nucleotides long. RefSeq lists it as uncharacterized. Lineage: Eukaryota; Metazoa; Mollusca; Bivalvia; Myida; Dreissenidae. The transcript has 11 exons. The record is from RefSeq and is a predicted model, not a curated record.